GACUGACCAACCCAACAAGUUCCUGCAACGAGUUGAGUCGGUUUGGAUUGCAACCACUAAUUAAUAUAUAGAAGAUGGAUCGGGUGGCUUUGGAAGUAAAUUUUUAUCCAAACCGACUUGUGAACAAUCCCACUAUUAUGUAUGAAAUGCUUGUUGGAUACCCACUUUUUUAUUGAAAUGAUCCUAUGUCAAUGUGUAGAAAAGUAGAGUAAUGCAUUGCUAAUUUCCUCUAUGUUUAUCAUGCUAAAUCUUGUAAAAUCUUAUAACAUUUUAUUUAAUUUGUG
This 284-nucleotide unclassified non-coding RNA is filed under the name Hevea brasiliensis (rubber tree). Lineage: Eukaryota; Viridiplantae; Streptophyta; Magnoliopsida; Malpighiales; Euphorbiaceae. The record is from RNAcentral.